CCUACGGGAGGCAGCAGUGAGGAAUAUUGGUCAAUGGACGAGAGUCUGAACCAGCCAAGUAGCGUGAAGGAUGACUGCCCUAUGGGUUGUAAACUUCUUUUAUAAAGGAAUAAAACGAGGCACGUGUGCCUUUUUGCAUGUACUUUAUGAAUAAGGAUCGGCUAACUCCGUGCCAGCAGCCGCGGUAAUACGGAGGAUCCGAGCGUUAUCCGGAUUUAUUGGGUUUAAAGGGAGCGUAGAUGGGUUGUUAAGUCAGUUGUGAAAGUUUGCGGCUCAACCGUAAAAUUGCAAGUGAUACUGGCAGUCGUGAGUACAGUUGAGGUAGGCGGAAUUCGUGGUGUAGCGGUGAAAUGCUUAGAUAUCACGAAGAACCCCGAGUGCGAAGGCAGCUUACUAAACUGUGACUGACAUUGAUGCUCGAAAGUGUGGGUAUCAAACAGGAUUAGAUACCCGAGUAGUC
This 460-nucleotide ribosomal RNA is filed under the name uncultured bacterium. RNAcentral's name for it is "partial 16S ribosomal RNA". It matches the Rfam family "Bacterial small subunit ribosomal RNA", at positions 338 to 795 of the family's 1533-position model. The record is from RNAcentral.